Molecule: ribosomal RNA, 465 nt
Filed under: uncultured bacterium
Lineage: Bacteria
Description: partial 16S ribosomal RNA
Rfam family: Bacterial small subunit ribosomal RNA
Source: RNAcentral
CCUACGGGUGGCUGCAGUAGGGAAUCUUCCACAAUGGACGAAAGUCUGAUGGAGCAACGCCGCGUGAGUGAAGUAGGGUCUCGGCUCGUAAAGCUCCGUUGGUAGUGAAGAAAGAUAGAGGUAGUAACUGGCCUUUAUUUGACGGUAAUUACUUAGAAAGUCACGGCUAACUACUUCCCAGCAGACGCGGUAAUAUGUAGGUGGCAAGCGUUGUCCGGUUUUAUUGGGCGUAAAGCGAGUGCAGGCGGUUCAAUAAGUCUGAUGUGAAAGCCGUCGGCUCAACCGGAGAAUUGCAUCAGAAACUGUUGAACUUGAGUGCAGAAGAGGAGAGUGGAACUCCAGGUGUAGCGGUGGAAUGCGUAGAUAUAGGGAAGAACACCAGUGGCGAAGGCGGCUCUCUGGUCUGCAACUGACGCUGAGGCUCGAAGGCAAGGGUAGCGAAAAGGAUUAGAUACCCGUGUAGUC